CCCACGUGCCACAUGGGCAGGGGCUGUUCUCCCUCUGCCUGUCCACUGGCAGCCAGGCUGGGUGAGGGGACAGGGUUGCCCCAGGACCCCAAGUGGCUGCUGCCCUGUGCCUGGGGGGAAGGGAUCUGACUCAGGGCCCUUCCGAACCCCGCAGGUGCCCCAUCCUCCCCAGGUUCACCGCCUGGCAGGAGCCCUGCCCGUGGCUCCCUGGACACCCAGAGGGGGUGCUGCAGAGCAGGGUCCUUUCCCUUCUUUCUGGAGCCCAUGGCCAGGGCGAUCCCCAAGUUCCUCUACAGCAGCUGGCACCAGCAGGCAUUGCUGGGGCACCGUGGAGUGCCCAGUGUGGGGUGAUGGCAGCUGGGCACCUGAGGGCAUUGGCAUCUGGUGCUGGGCGAAGGGCCGGGGAGAGCAUUGGUGCUUUGGUGAGAUGGGGCUUGCAGCCAGAGGUGGGGGCAGUGGCCCGCAGCCUAGAGCAUGGGGCCUUCUGAAUCCUCCUUGCUCAUCCUUGUGGGGCGCGGAUGGUCCUGGGAAUGGAGGCUGCAGGUGCCUUUGCUUGGUCUGUUCUGGUUCUGCGGGUCUGUGUGUGGUGAGCAGGUCCCGGCUUCGACUGAUCCAUUCACCGACACGGAGCUGGGGGCUGUGGCUCUGCUCCGGCUCCGCAGCCCCUGCCCUGGUGGGCCGCACCGAUGGAGGUGCCCGAGUGGGGGAGCUGGGUGUAAGGAUUACUCCGCUCUGCGGCUGCACCGUAAGUGGGCUGUGCAAAGGGGUGCGCUCGGGUCGAGUUCCCCCCACCCUGGGCACCAUAGUGACAUUGACCUAACUGAAGUGUCGUCCGGGCCUUAGGCAGGGCCCUGUGCCCGGCACCUGGCAAUGGCCCUCAGUUCUCCCAGCCUGACUGCAGCCCCUCGGCCGCGGGGAAACCGAGGCACUGACCAGCCUUGCCAAGGCCACCCAGCUGGUCAGUGGGACCAGAAUCCAGGAGUCCUGGCUCCCAGAGCCCUUUGCAGCCCUUCCAGCCAAAGCUCCUUGGUGGCAGCCACAGGAGGCUCAGGGUGGCCUAGCUGGCACAGCCCCAGGAGUGCUCAGACCAGCGGCCAGCCUGGGUCAGUCCUGCCUGCUGACAGCGGGCAGUGCCAGGUGCUUCCAAGGGAAUGAGCAGAGCAGGCAAAUGCGAG
Molecule: long non-coding RNA, 1175 nt
Filed under: Gopherus agassizii (Agassiz's desert tortoise)
Lineage: Eukaryota; Metazoa; Chordata; Testudines; Testudinidae
Description: lncRNA (ENSGAGG00000009449.1)
Source: RNAcentral